This 1607-nucleotide long non-coding RNA is filed under the name Medicago truncatula (barrel medic). RNAcentral's name for it is "long non-coding RNA (MTRU_LNC000055)". Lineage: Eukaryota; Viridiplantae; Streptophyta; Magnoliopsida; Fabales; Fabaceae. The record is from RNAcentral.
AUUGUAUAGGCAAAAUCUGCAGUAUGUUCUUCGUUAGGUUUGGAACAGAUGGUUGGAUACCAGAGUCUGCCACCUUAUACAACGAUGGCUACCCUCCUAUAACAUUCAACUUCAACUACUUGAUUCCUUUCGGCGUUCCCUCUGGCAUCUAUAAUUGCAAUAAAUAAGUUUUUAUGUUAAUUCGUAAGUUCUCACUAAUGAAAAUUGUAUCAUUGAUCAGAAGUUGUUUUUUCAUAAACUACAUUGAUAAGCUUAUGAAUCAUUUAUCUCGCGAUUCAUCAAAGAAUGAUAGCUAAUGAGUUUCUGCAUUUAUUUAGCGUCAAAUAACACAUAUUGCUUUCGAUAAACCGAUGACAAUGUUGAUUUGCUGUAUUUUUUUCUCAAUCAAACCAUUCAGCCCGUGUAAUUAUUUUUCUUCAACUUUGGUUAUUGUUGUUAAAUUAUGAGAGUUGAAUAUUAUUGUUUUUGAAUUGUGAGAGUUACGGAAACAUCUUAUAACAUGUACAUGAAGUAUAUUUCCAGCUUGGUUUGCAUAAGUUUUUCACAAUAGACUAAUAUGAAAACAGAUUAAAACUAAUAUGAAAAUACACAUAUCUUAUAUACUCCAUAUGUGACUGUAUAUGCGAAAUAUGCAAUAUGCACUUCGUUAGGGUUGGAUGCCAGAGUGCCACCUUAUACUACCGUGACUAUCCUCCUCCUGUCACCUUCAACUUCAACUUCAACUCGUUCGUUCAUUCCUUUAGGUGUUCCCUCUGGCGCCGAUUAUUGUCAAAGGUCAAAUCUUCAAUAAGCAUAUAGAAACCGCAUAAUACGUAUUAGGGCUAGCUAGGUUGGCUCAAAUAAGAUAGCUUUUAAUUGCUGUUUGUUUUUACCAGCUAAUAACUAAGAAAUAAACAUAUUUCUUUAUAAAAAAUGAAUGAUCAAGUUAAAUUAAUAUCUUAUUUUUAAUUAUGAGAUUAAUAUUUGUCUCUUAAACUACACAUAUGGACACUAAUUUUAGUUAAUUGCAUAGAACUAGAAUAUUUUUAAUAUAACAAAUUUUAGUAUCAUCUCUGUUCUCACUACUAGAAAAAGCAAAAUUAGCGAGGGAAAUUAGUGACGGAAAAAAUGAAAUUCUUCACAAAUUCCUUGGUCGCAAAAUUUAGUGACGGAAUUAGAGAGAGAUUUUACGUUUUCCUUCACUAAUUUUUGUUUUUUUAGUAGUGUCUUCUCACAUCGUGCUAUACCUUCAUCAAAAAAAUACAACUAAUUAUACUUGUUUAACAAAAAAAAUUGGUCGGACCAUACAUUAGUCAGAAACGAGUUUUGGAUAUUGUGAGAGUGUUGUUUGGAAAAGGUUUAGGCUAGGAAAGACUUGAUGUUUAAGUGGUUUAUUGUGAGACUGACCUCCCUUUCUUGGGAACUUAUCUAAUAAUACACAAACAAAUUACAGCUUGUUUACAGCGGCAACGUCAAAUUUCUCAAGUGUAGUGAAACUUUUUUCCUUUUUUGACGAAAGUGGUGGUGAUAUAGUAUGAGUUAUACAAAGAUAUUGAGAGGAAAUAUUUUCAACAUGAACAACGAUAAAUGAGAGAAACUAGAUUUUGAGAGCUUUGAGUACAAUUCAC